RNAcentral lists this non-coding RNA (28 nucleotides) under Rattus norvegicus (Norway rat). The record is from RNAcentral. Lineage: Eukaryota; Metazoa; Chordata; Mammalia; Rodentia; Muridae.
UUCCUUCUGCGCCUAUUUAACAAUUAUG